RNAcentral lists this ribosomal RNA (504 nucleotides) under uncultured bacterium. RNAcentral describes it as "partial 16S ribosomal RNA". It matches the Rfam family "Bacterial small subunit ribosomal RNA", at positions 29 to 523 of the family's 1533-position model. The record is from RNAcentral.
AUUGAACGCUGGCGGCAGGCCUAACACAUGCAAGUCGGACGGUAGCACAGAGAGCUUGCUCUCGGGUGACGAGUGGCGGACGGGUGAGUAAUGUCUGGGGAUCUGCCCGAUAGAGGGGGAUAACCACUGGAAACGGUGGCUAAUACCGCAUAACGUCGCAAGACCAAAGAGGGGGACCUUCGGGCCUCUCACUAUCGGAUGAACCCAGAUGGGAUUAGCUAGUAGGCGGGGUAAUGGCCCACCUAGGCGACGAUCCCUAGCUGGUCUGAGAGGAUGACCAGCCACACUGGAACUGAGACACGGGCCAGACUCCUACGGGAGGCAGCAGUGGGGAAUAUUGCACAAUGGGCGCAAGCCUGAUGCAGCCAUGCCGCGUGUAUGAAGAAGGCCUUCGGGUUGUAAAGUACUUUCAGCGGGGAGGAAGGCGAUGUGGUUAAUAACCGCGUCGAUUGACGUUACCCGCAGAAGAAGCACCGGCUAACUCCGUGCCAGCCGCCGCAGUAA